GACGAACGCUGGCGGCGUGCUUAACACAUGCAAGUCGAACGGAAAGGCCCUGCUUUUGUGGGGUGCUCGAGUGGCGAACGGGUGAGUAACACGUGAGUAUCCUGCCCUUGACUUUGGGAUAACUUCAGGAAACUGGGGCUAAUACCGGAUAGGAGCUCCUGCUGCAUGGUGGGGGUUGGAACGUUUCGGCGGUUGGGGAUGGACUCGCGGCUUAUCAGCUUGUUGGUGGGGUAGUGGCUUACCAAGGCUUUGACGGGUAGCCGGCCUGAGAGGGUGACCGGCCACAUUGGGACUGAGAUACGGCCCAGACUCCUACGGGAGGCAGCAGUGGGGAAUAUUGCACAAUGGGCGGAAGCCUGAUGCAGCAACGCCGCGUGCGGGAUGACGGCCUUCGGGUUGUAAACCGCUUUCGCCUGUGACGAAGCGUGAGUGACGGUAAUGGGUAAAGAAGCACCGGCUAACUACGUG
This 468-nucleotide ribosomal RNA is filed under the name uncultured bacterium. RNAcentral describes it as "partial 16S ribosomal RNA". It matches the Rfam family "Bacterial small subunit ribosomal RNA", at positions 28 to 507 of the family's 1533-position model. The record is from RNAcentral.